This 19-nucleotide ribosomal RNA is filed under the name Rhizophagus intraradices. RNAcentral's name for it is "partial 18S ribosomal RNA". The record is from RNAcentral. Lineage: Eukaryota; Fungi; Glomeromycota; Glomeromycetes; Glomerales; Glomeraceae.
UCAGUAGGUGAACCUGCGG